RNAcentral lists this signal recognition particle RNA (95 nucleotides) under Spirochaetaceae bacterium. Its description in RNAcentral is "signal recognition particle sRNA small type". It matches the Rfam family "Bacterial small signal recognition particle RNA". Rfam says of the family: The signal recognition particle (SRP) is a universally conserved ribonucleoprotein involved in the co-translational targeting of proteins to membranes. The record is from RNAcentral. Lineage: Bacteria; Pseudomonadati; Spirochaetota; Spirochaetia; Spirochaetales; Spirochaetaceae.
UCAGGGACCGUGCGAAUGAGCCGCGCCGAACUCCGCCAGGCCCGGAAGGGAGCAACGGCAGGCGCCGGAUCAUUGCGCCGCGACCUCCCCUGGCG